AUCCCAUGGUGGGGACAAGCCAGGAUGUAUUCCUGAAGCCUUUCCCAUGCCUCAGGAAUAGAUUUCGAUGUUGUCUGCUGAAAGCUUGAAAUUUUUCCACGGAGGGC
Molecule: small nucleolar RNA, 107 nt
Organism: Panicum virgatum (switchgrass)
Lineage: Eukaryota; Viridiplantae; Streptophyta; Magnoliopsida; Poales; Poaceae
Source: RefSeq, a predicted model, not a curated record